Molecule: ribosomal RNA, 497 nt
Filed under: uncultured bacterium
Lineage: Bacteria
Description: partial 16S ribosomal RNA
Rfam family: Bacterial small subunit ribosomal RNA
Source: RNAcentral
GAUGAACGCUGGCGGCGUGCCUAAUACAUGCAAGUCGAGCGAACGGACGAGAAGCUUGCUUCUCUGAUGUUAGCGGCGGACGGGUGAGUAACACGUGGAUAACCUACCUAUAAGACUGGGAUAACUUCGGGAAACCGUAGCUAAUACCGGAUAAUAUUUUGAACCGCAUGGUUCAAAAGUGAAAGACGGUCUUGCUGUCACUUAUAGAUGGAUCCGCGCUGCAUUAGCUAGUUGGUAAGGUAACGGCUUACCAAGGCAACGAUGCAUAGCCGACCUGAGAGGGUGAUCGGCCACACUGGAACUGAGACACGGUCCAGACUCCUACGGGAGGCAGCAGUAGGGAAUCUUCCGCAAUGGGCGAUAGCCUGACGGAGCAACGCCGCGUGAGUGAUGAAGGUCUUCGGAUCGUAAAACUCUGUUAUUAGUGAAGAACAUAUGUGUAAGUAACUGUGCACAUCUUGACGGUACCUAAUCAGAAAGCCACGGCUAACUACGUG